GUGAGGAAUAUUGGACAAUGGGCGCAAGCCUGAUCCAGCCAUGCCGCGUGCAGGAAGACGCAUCUAUGGUGUGUAAACUGCUUUUGUACGGGAAGAAACACUCCCUCGUGAGGGAGCUUGACGGUACCGUAAGAAUAAGGAUCGGCUAACUCCGUGCCAGCAGCCGCGGUAAUACGGAGGAUCCAAGCGUUAUCCGGAAUCAUUGGGUUUAAAGGGUCCGUAGGCGGUUUAAUAAGUCAGUGGUGAAAGCCCAUCGCUCAACGAUGGAACGGCCAUUGAUACUGUUAGACUUGAAUUAGAAGGAAGUAACUAGAAUAUGUAGUGUAGCGGUGAAAUGCUUAGAUAUUACAUGGAAUACCAAUUGCGAAGGCAGGUUACUACUUGUGGAUUGACGCUGAUUGACGAAAGCGUGGGGAGCGAACAGGAUUAGAAACCCCUGUAGUCC
This 445-nucleotide ribosomal RNA is filed under the name uncultured bacterium. RNAcentral's name for it is "partial 16S ribosomal RNA". It matches the Rfam family "Bacterial small subunit ribosomal RNA", at positions 354 to 796 of the family's 1533-position model. The record is from RNAcentral.